GGGGAAUCUUCCGCAAUGGACGAAAGUCUGACGGAGCAACGCCGCGUGAGUGAAGAAGGUCUUCGGAUCGUAAAGCUCUGUUGUACGGGACGAAUGUUGAAGGCGUGAAUAAUGCCAUCAAAUGACGGUACUGUACGAGGAAGCCACGGCUAACUACGUGCCAGCAGCCGCGGUAAUACGUAGGUGGCGAGCGUUGUCCGGAAUUAUUGGGCGUAAAGGGAGCGCAGGUGGGAAGAUAAGUCUGCUUUAAAAGUGCGGGGCUCAACCCCGUGAGGGAGUGGAAAGUAUUUUUCUUGAGUGCAGGAGAGGAAAGCGGAAUUCCUAGUGUAGCGGUGAAAUGCGUAGAUAUUAGGAGGAACACCAGUGGCGAAGGCGGCUUUCUGGACUGUAACUGACACUGAGGCUCGAAAGCCAGGGGAGCGAACG
RNAcentral lists this ribosomal RNA (426 nucleotides) under uncultured Veillonellaceae bacterium. RNAcentral's name for it is "bacterial SSU rRNA". It matches the Rfam family "Bacterial small subunit ribosomal RNA", at positions 356 to 774 of the family's 1533-position model. Lineage: Bacteria; Bacillati; Bacillota; Negativicutes; Veillonellales; Veillonellaceae. The record is from RNAcentral.